This 1370-nucleotide ribosomal RNA is filed under the name uncultured bacterium. Its description in RNAcentral is "bacterial SSU rRNA". It matches the Rfam family "Bacterial small subunit ribosomal RNA". The record is from RNAcentral.
AGAGUUUGAUCCUGGCUCAGAACGAACGCUGGCGGCGUGGAUAAGACAUGCAAGUCGAACGAGAGAAUUGCUAGCUUGCUAAUAAUUCUCUAGUGGCGCACGGGUGAGUAACACGUGAGUAACCUGCCCCCGAGAGCGGGAUAGCCCUGGGAAACUGGGAUUAAUACCGCAUAGUAUCGAAAGAUUAAAGCAGCAAUGCGCUUGGGGAUGGGCUCGCGGCCUAUUAGUUAGUUGGUGAGGUAACGGCUCACCAAGGCGAUGACGGGUAGCCGGUCUGAGAGGAUGUCCGGCCACACUGGAACUGAGACACGGUCCAGACACCUACGGGUGGCAGCAGUCGAGAAUCAUUCACAAUGGGGGAAACCCUGAUGGUGCGACGCCGCGUGGGGGAAUGAAGGUCUUCGGAUUGUAAACCCCUGUCAUGUGGGAGCAAAUUAAAAAGAUAGUACCACAAGAGGAAGAGACGGCUAACUCUGUGCCAGCAGCCGCGGUAAUACAGAGGUCUCAAGCGUUGUUCGGAAUCACUGGGCGUAAAGCGUGCGUAGGCUGUUUCGUAAGUCGUGUGUGAAAGGCGCGGGCUCAACCCGCGGACGGCACAUGAUACUGCGAGACUAGAGUAAUGGAGGGGGAACCGGAAUUCUCGGUGUAGCAGUGAAAUGCGUAGAUAUCGAGAGGAACACUCGUGGCGAAGGCGGGUUCCUGGACAUUAACUGACGCUGAGGCACGAAGGCCAGGGGAGCGAAAGGGAUUAGAUACCCCUGUAGUCCUGGCAGUAAACGGUGCACGCUUGGUGUGCGGGGAAUCGACCCCCUGCGUGCCGGAGCUAACGCGUUAAGCGUGCCGCCUGGGGAGUACGGUCGCAAGAUUAAAACUCAAAGAAAUUGACGGGGACCCGCACAAGCGGUGGAGUAUGUGGCUUAAUUCGAUGCAACGCGAAGAACCUUACCUGGGCUUGACAUGUAAUGAACAACAUGUGAAAGCAUGCGACUCUUCGGAGGCGUUACACAGGUGCUGCAUGGCCGUCGUCAGCUCGUGUCGUGAGAUGUUUGGUUAAGUCCAGCAACGAGCGCAACCCCUGUUGCCAGUUACCAGCACGUGAAGGUGGGGACCCUGGCGAGACUGCCCAGAUCAACUGGGAGGAAGGUGGGGACGACGUCAGGUCAGUAUGGCCCUUAUGCCCAGGGCUGCACACGUACUACAAUGCCCAGUACAGAGGGGGCCGAAGCCGCGGGGCGGAGGAAAUCCUAAAAACUGGGCCCAGUUCGGACUGUAGGCUGCAACCCGCCUACACGAAGCCGGAAUCGCUAGUAAUGGCGGAUCAGCUACGGCGCCGUGAAUACGUUCCCGGGUCUUGCACACACCGCCCGUCA